This 253-nucleotide ribosomal RNA is filed under the name uncultured Oscillospira sp. RNAcentral describes it as "partial 16S ribosomal RNA". It matches the Rfam family "Bacterial small subunit ribosomal RNA", at positions 524 to 776 of the family's 1533-position model. The record is from RNAcentral. Lineage: Bacteria; Bacillati; Bacillota; Clostridia; Eubacteriales; Oscillospiraceae.
UACGUAGGGUGCAAGCGUUAUCCGGAUUUAUUGGGCGUAAAGGGCGUGUAGGCGGGAGCGCAAGUCAGAUGUGAAAACUCAGGGCUCAACCCUGAGCCUGCAUUUGAAACUGUGUUUCUUGAGUGCUGGAGAGGCAAUCGGAAUUCCGUGUGUAGCGGUGAAAUGCGUAAAUAUAUGUAAGAACACCGGUGGCGAAGGCGGCUUGCUGGGCCUGUACUGACAUUGAGGCACGAAAGCGUGGGGAGCAAACAGG